This 896-nucleotide long non-coding RNA is filed under the name Volvox carteri. Its description in RNAcentral is "long non-coding RNA (VCAR_LNC000639)". Lineage: Eukaryota; Viridiplantae; Chlorophyta; Chlorophyceae; Chlamydomonadales; Volvocaceae. The record is from RNAcentral.
CUGGUAGUGCCGACAGCCAGGCGUCCUGGCUUCUGCCUCUGGACAAAGCUCCCUUCUCCCCCAUCGCCACCAUCGCCGCCACCGCGGCCGCCGUCGCCACCUCCACGGCCGCCGUCACCGCGGCCCCCGUCACCUCCACGGCCGCCACCGCGACCGUCGCCGCCUCCGCCUUCUCCGCUGCCGCCGUCACCGCCGUCCCCUCCGCCACCACCGCCCUCACCGUCACCGCCGCCGCCAUCGCCACCGCCGCCGCCACCGCCACCGCUGACGCCUCCGUCAUCGCCUCCGCCGUCUCUACCACCGCCGUCUAUACCCCCGCCGAUGACGCCGGUGACUGAAAAUCCCACCGGUACGGAGUUGGGUUCUUCCCUAAAUCGCUACUCUGUGUAUCACGUACAUGCACACUACACACCUACACAUGUACGCACGCACAUACAUACACAAGGAUUCAUAGCCAUUUAUUUCUUGCUCUGAUGCCGCUGUCGGCUGUCCUCCCGCGUUGUGUGCCUAAACCCUAAAGUACAUCCACCGUGUUCCAUGUUCACGGGUUGAUCGGGGCAGUGCGCGCCCUCCGAUGCGCCCUCAGUCUUAAUCGCCUUCCUGCAAACAUUGAACGCAGAGCACCAAGCGCGAUCCUAAGACCUUCAUUUGUCCGAUUCUGGCAUCGACUGUCGUUUUAUAUUUUGUGCAGGUUGUGUGGCAAUUCCGGGAUUCAGCGUGAUCUCAGGCGUCGACCUCGCCGUACCUGCCAGCCAGUUCAAGAACAUUCUGCUCGGGCAGUACAGCCUUCUAGCCGACGCGGCGACUGCCUGCACCGCCAACGCACGUUGCAUGGGUUUCAAUGGCGACGGCUUGACGCUGACGGCCGUCAGCCCCAUGAUCCCCCUCGCAGGCUC